Molecule: ribosomal RNA, 325 nt
Filed under: uncultured bacterium
Lineage: Bacteria
Description: bacterial SSU rRNA
Rfam family: Bacterial small subunit ribosomal RNA
Source: RNAcentral
AUCAACGCUGGCGGCGUGCCUCAGACAUGCAAGUCGAACGCGAAAGUCCCCUUCGGGGGAGUAAGUAGAGUGGCGCACGGGUGAGUAACACGUAGGUAAUCUACCUUCGGAUGGGGAAGUAACAACCGGAAACGGUUGCUAAUACCGCAUAAUGCAGCGGCACCUAAUGGUGACAGUUGUUAAAGCGGGGGAGUCGAAAGACCUCGCGUCUAAAGAGGAGCCUGCGGCGGAUUAGCUAGNGGUUAGGGUAACGGCCUACCAAGGCGACGAUCCGUAGCCGGCCUGAGGAGGGCGGUCGGCCACACUGACACUGACAUACGGGUCA